This 852-nucleotide ribosomal RNA is filed under the name Lamproconium desmazieri. Its description in RNAcentral is "eukaryotic LSU rRNA". It matches the Rfam family "Eukaryotic large subunit ribosomal RNA", at positions 37 to 920 of the family's 3401-position model. The record is from RNAcentral. Lineage: Eukaryota; Fungi; Ascomycota; Sordariomycetes; Diaporthales; Lamproconiaceae.
AGCAUAUCAAUAAGCGGAGGAAAAGAAACCAACAGGGAUUGCCCUAGUAACGGCGAGUGAAGCGGCAACAGCUCAAAUUUGAAAUCUGGCCUAGGCCCGAGUUGUAAUUUGCAGAGGAUGCCUUUGGCGCGGUGCCUUCCGAGUUCCCUGGAACGGGACGCCACAGAGGGUGAGAGCCCCGUAUGGUCGGACACCAAGCCUGUGUAAGGCUCCUUCGACGAGUCGAGUAGUUUGGGAAUGCUGCUCUAAAUGGGAGGUAAAUCUCUUCUAAAGCUAAAUACCGGCCAGAGACCGAUAGCGCACAAGUAGAGUGAUCGAAAGAUGAAAAGCACCUUGAAAAGGGGGUUAAAUAGUACGUGAAAUUGCUGAAAGGGAAGGGCUUGUGACCAGACUUGCGCCGGGCGGCUCACCCUGGGUUCUCCCAGGGGUACUCCGCCCGGCUCAGGCCAGCAUCGGUUCUCGCGGGGGGAUAAGAGCGGUGGGAACGUAGCUCCCCACGGGGAGUGUUAUAGCCCGCCGCACGAUACCUUCGCGGGGACCGAGGACCGCGCUUCGGCAAGGAUGCUGGCGUAAUGGUCAUCAGCCACCCGUCUUGAAACACGGACCAAGGAGUCGUCCAUUAGAGCGAGCGUUUGGGUGUAAAACCCGCACGCGUAAUGAAAGUGAACGCAGGUGAGAGCUUCGGCGCAUCAUCGACCGAUCCUGAAGUUUUCGGAUGGAUUUGAGUAAGAGUUUUACUGGACGGACCCGAAAGACAGUGAACUAUGCUUGUAUAGGGUGAAGCCAGAGGAAACUCUGGUGGAGGCUCGCAGCGGUUCUGACGUGCAAAUCGAUCGUCAAAUAUGAGCAUGG